GCCAGUGUUGUUCAGUGGAUAGAGCAUCAGCCUGUGGACUGAAGGGUCCUGGGUUCAAUUCCCAUCAAGGGCA
Molecule: non-coding RNA, 73 nt
Organism: Myotis lucifugus (little brown bat)
Lineage: Eukaryota; Metazoa; Chordata; Mammalia; Chiroptera; Vespertilionidae
Source: Rfam